UAUUAAUCCGUGCCCUAUUUCAGCAGAACAUUAAUUACAUUUUUUAUAAUUAGCCUGUAUACAGCAUAAAGGAGAAAAUGUUAAUGGGUGACUAGGAAAUAUGACAAAAAGAGAUCUCCUUUGAAGACAGAAAAAAAAGUACUGAAGCAAGACAAAACUCCUGUUAUGAAGAUGUGGGCUUAUGCAAAUCGUUCACCAUUCAAUACCAGGAGCUUCAUUAUAAAUUUAAACAAGCUAAUAUAAAAAUGAAUUCAUUUAUAUAAAGACUACAUCUUAGACUUUCAUUAAAUGUGUUUUCUAAGUGU
Long non-coding RNA from Stegodyphus dumicola, 305 nucleotides. The record is from RefSeq and is a predicted model, not a curated record. NCBI's taxonomy places the organism in Eukaryota, Metazoa, Arthropoda, Arachnida, Araneae, Eresidae.